GGAGAGGUACCGAAGCGGUCAUAACGGCACCGAUUCGAAAUCGGUUGGGGGCGAUCGCCCCACGUGGGUUCGAAUCCCACCCUCUCCGCCA
This 91-nucleotide transfer RNA is filed under the name Lysobacterales bacterium. Its description in RNAcentral is "tRNA-Ser". It matches the Rfam family "tRNA". Rfam says of the family: Transfer RNA (tRNA) molecules are approximately 80 nucleotides in length. Their secondary structure includes four short double-helical elements and three loops (D, anti-codon, and T loops). Lineage: Bacteria; Pseudomonadati; Pseudomonadota; Gammaproteobacteria; Lysobacterales. The record is from RNAcentral. RNAcentral also lists the same sequence under 1 other name.